Molecule: ribosomal RNA, 60 nt
Filed under: Colletotrichum truncatum
Lineage: Eukaryota; Fungi; Ascomycota; Sordariomycetes; Glomerellales; Glomerellaceae
Description: partial 18S ribosomal RNA
Rfam family: Eukaryotic small subunit ribosomal RNA
Source: RNAcentral
UUGGAAGUAAAAGUCGUAACAAGGUCUCCGUUGGUGAACCAGCGGAGGGAUCAUUACUGA